Molecule: ribosomal RNA, 274 nt
Filed under: uncultured bacterium
Lineage: Bacteria
Description: partial 16S ribosomal RNA
Rfam family: Bacterial small subunit ribosomal RNA
Source: RNAcentral
AUACGGAGGGUGCAAGCGUUAUUCGGAAUCACUGGGCGUAAAGGACGCGUAGGCGGGUUGGCAAGUCAGAUGUGAAAUCCUACAGCUUAACUGUAGAACUGCAUUUGAAACUGCUAACCUAGAGUAUGGGAGGGGGAGAUGGAAUUAGUGGUGUAGGGGUAAAAUCCGUAGAUAUCACUAGGAAUACCGAAAGCGAAGGCGAUCUCCUGGAACAUAACUGACGCUAAGGCGUGAAAGCGUGGGGAGCAAACAGGAUUAGAAACCCGGGUAGUCC